Poecilia reticulata (guppy) is the source of this 591-nucleotide long non-coding RNA. RefSeq lists it as uncharacterized. NCBI's taxonomy places the organism in Eukaryota, Metazoa, Chordata, Actinopteri, Cyprinodontiformes, Poeciliidae. The record is from RefSeq and is a predicted model, not a curated record.
AACGUGGCCUUUAAAUACUCCUGUCGCACAUCGUGAGGUUCUCUUUUCUUCGUCUGCUGACCUGUGGAAGUUUCGGUCCAAGUACGAGCAAUGAGUAAAAGUUUAGCUCUGGACCAUCAUGCCAGUGAACCUCCCAGUCACCUACUGGUCCACAGACUGGGGCAUCUGGUGCUGGGGAUGACCUUUAACCCUUAACCCAUCAACCUCGAAGCUCUUGGAUGUAAUCUAAUGCAUAAGCCAGCCUGGUUCAGCCGUCGGCCAUCUUUCAUGAGGUCACAGGUUUGGCAGAAAUGACUCGGAUGGCGUCAGAAUGCAAGAUGGCGGCGGGAUGAUUUGCUCUUGGAGCUGGGCAUCAUCUGAUGAGAUCCAGCUUUUCUGGUUCAGCUGAAGCAUGGAUGUCGUAAAGUGAAGUUUAAACAGGGAUUGUGUGUCACAGAUGGAAGCAGACGUGGACCACCUGAGGGGAGCUUGCUUUGAUGCAUCAUAUUCUCCAGAUUAAAACUAAAUGAAUAUUUCUUGUUCUAUGUAAACUUUAGUAAUUUGUAAGCAGAUUUUUCUUUUGUACAAAAAUAAAUACAAGAUCAAACAAUC